CUUCAGAGGAGGUUCUUCUGAGGCUGCUGCCAGUGGUCAAAGCCUCCAGCAAAGCUCUACUGAGCAGCUGUUCCCUCUCAGAUGAAGGAUGUUCAGCUCUGUCCUCAGCUCUCAGCUCUCCGUCCUCCAGACUGAAGGACCUGGACCUGAGAAUCCAGGUCUCAGCACUGAAGGAGCUGUGUGAUGGACUGGAAAACUGGAAACUGGAAACUCUCAGGCUGAGUGUGUCUGAUCUCUCGGAGAGGAACUGUGGACCUCUGUCCUCAGUCCUCAGCUCCCAGUCCCCCAGUCUGCCGCAACUGGACUUGAGUUACAGCGACCUGCAGGACUCAGGACUGAAGAAGCUGUGUGAGAGACUGAAGAGUCCAAACUGCAAACUGAAAACUCUCAGGCUGAGUGCGUGUGGUCUCUCAGAGACAAGCUGUGGACCUCUGUCCUCAGUCCUCAGC
Melanotaenia boesemani (Boeseman's rainbowfish) is the source of this 449-nucleotide long non-coding RNA. RefSeq lists it as uncharacterized. The record is from RefSeq and is a predicted model, not a curated record. The transcript is spliced from 4 exons. Lineage: Eukaryota; Metazoa; Chordata; Actinopteri; Atheriniformes; Melanotaeniidae.